RNAcentral lists this transfer RNA (86 nucleotides) under Caudoviricetes sp. RNAcentral describes it as "tRNA-OTHER". It matches the Rfam family "tRNA". Rfam says of the family: Transfer RNA (tRNA) molecules are approximately 80 nucleotides in length. The record is from RNAcentral. Lineage: Duplodnaviria; Heunggongvirae; Uroviricota; Caudoviricetes.
GGAAACAUAAGGUCUGACUCCUCCAUCUCAUUGAAAGUCCUAGGUUUGAGAUGGUUUGGUCGCAGGUUCAAAUCCUGCUGUUUCCA